Molecule: ribosomal RNA, 588 nt
Filed under: uncultured bacterium
Lineage: Bacteria
Description: bacterial SSU rRNA
Rfam family: Bacterial small subunit ribosomal RNA
Source: RNAcentral
CCUACGGGAGGCAGCAGUGGGGAAUCUUGGACAAUGGGGGCAACCCUGAUCCAGCGAUGCCGCGUGUGUGAAGAAGGCCUGCGGGUUGUAAAGCACUUUCAGUAGAGAAGAAGGUUCGUCGUUUAAGAGAUAGCAGACUUGACGUUAUCUACAGAAGAAGCACCGGCUAACUCUGUGCCAGCAGCCGCGGUAAUACAGAGGGUGCGAGCGUUAAUCGGACUUACUGGGCGUAAAGGGCGCGUAGGCGGCUUAUUAAGUUGGGUGUGAAAUCUCCGGGCUUAACCUGGAGUGGUCAUUCAAUACUGGUCGGCUUGAGUGCAGGAGAGGGAAGUGGAAUUUCCGGUGUAGCGGUGAAAUGCGUGGAUAUCGGAAGGAACACCAAUGGCGAAGGCAUCUUCCUGGCCUGACACUGACGCUGAUGCGCGAAAGCGUGGGGAGCAAACAGGAUUAGAGACCCUGGUAGUCCACGCUGUAAACGAUGAGUACUAGCUGUUGGGGCUUCGGCUCUAGUGGCGCAGCUAACGCAUUAAGUACUCCCGCCUGGGGACUACGGCCGCAAGGCUAAAACUCAAAGGAAUUGACGGGGGA